RNAcentral lists this long non-coding RNA (321 nucleotides) under Homo sapiens (human). Its description in RNAcentral is "non-protein coding lnc-EPRS-2:1". Lineage: Eukaryota; Metazoa; Chordata; Mammalia; Primates; Hominidae. The record is from RNAcentral.
GCGCGCAGUUUCCCGCAUGCUCAGUAGCUGAGGUAGGGAUGCCAUCCUUCUCAAAAGACUUAUUGACAGUGCCAAAGCUCGGUACUGGACACAACGAGGGACCUGGGUCUACGAUAACGCGCUUUUGCUCCUCCUGAAGUGUCUUUGGUCCAACGUUGUUCCAGGUGUGAGCCACCGCACCUGGCCUAAACCAGAUUUCUUUAGGGCACAAUUUUUUCUGGAAUCUCACUCUUGUUUUUCACAGUAAUUUUAAAAACGUUUCUACUCCAAUUAAGAAUAUAUAUGAUGUUAUUAUAUAUGCUUAUGAAACAGAUUUAUGAG